GACGAACGCUGGCGGCGCGCUUAACACAUGCAAGUCGAACGGAAAGGCCUGCUUUCCCUUGUGGAUUGCGGGUACUCGAGUGGCGAACGGGUGAGUAACACGUGAGUGAUCUGCCCCCAACUUGGGUAUAAGCCUGGGAAACUGGGUCUAAUUCCCGAUAGGACUGCAGGGUGGUGCCUGUGGUGGAAAACGAUUUUCUAGAGGUUGGGGAUGAGCUCGCGGCCUAUCAGCUUGUUGGUGGGGUAAUGGCCUACCAAGGCGGCGACGGGUAGCCGGCCUGAGAGGGUGGACGGCCACAUUGGGACUGAGAUACGGCCCAGACUCCUACGGGAGGCAGCAGUGGGGAAUAUUGCACAAUGGGCGGAAGCCUGAUGCAGCGACGCCGCGUGGGGGAUGACGGCCUUCGGGUUGUAAACUCCUUUCGACCGCGAGGAAGCCACCUGGUUGGAAGGGUGGUGACGGUAGUGGUAGAAGAAGCACCGGCUAACUACGUG
RNAcentral lists this ribosomal RNA (494 nucleotides) under uncultured bacterium. RNAcentral describes it as "partial 16S ribosomal RNA". It matches the Rfam family "Bacterial small subunit ribosomal RNA", at positions 28 to 507 of the family's 1533-position model. The record is from RNAcentral.